This is a small nuclear RNA of Pygocentrus nattereri (red-bellied piranha), 191 nucleotides long. Its record names the gene U2. It matches the Rfam family "U2 spliceosomal RNA". Rfam says of the family: U2 is a small nuclear RNA (snRNA) component of the spliceosome (involved in pre-mRNA splicing). Complementary binding between U2 snRNA (in an area lying towards the 5' end but 3' to hairpin I) and the branchpoint sequence (BPS) of the intron results the bulging out of an unpaired adenosine, on the BPS, which initiates a nucleophilic attack at the intronic 5' splice site, thus starting the first of two transesterification reactions that mediate splicing. NCBI's taxonomy places the organism in Eukaryota, Metazoa, Chordata, Actinopteri, Characiformes, Serrasalmidae. The record is from Ensembl.
AUCGCUUCUCGGCCUUUUGGCUAAGAUCAAGUGUAGUAUCUUUUCUUAUCAGUUUACUAUCUGAUAUGUCCUCUAUAUGAGAACUACAUAUUAAAUAGAUUUUUAGGACAGGGAGACAGAAGAGGAGCUUGCUCUGUCCAGUCAACACAUUGACCUGGUAUUGAAGUGCCUCACGGAAUGCUGCACCUUCU